CGCGAAAACUCUACAAUGCAGGCAACUGCGAUAGGGGAACAUCGAGUGGCACCCACCAUGGGUGUCUGUCCAAUCGUCUAAAAAACGAUUGUCAGCAAGGGC
This 102-nucleotide ribosomal RNA is filed under the name uncultured archaeon. Its description in RNAcentral is "partial 16S ribosomal RNA". It matches the Rfam family "Archaeal small subunit ribosomal RNA", at positions 340 to 443 of the family's 1478-position model. The record is from RNAcentral.